This 253-nucleotide ribosomal RNA is filed under the name uncultured bacterium. RNAcentral's name for it is "partial 16S ribosomal RNA". It matches the Rfam family "Bacterial small subunit ribosomal RNA", at positions 524 to 776 of the family's 1533-position model. The record is from RNAcentral.
UACGUAGGCAGCGAGCGUUGUUCGGAGUUACUGGGCGUAAAGAGUGCGUAGGCGGUUUCGCAAGUUUGGUGUGAAAUCUCCCGGCUUAACUGGGAGGGUGCGCCGAAAACUGCGAGGCUUGAGAGUGGGAGAGGUAAGCGGAAUUCCCGGUGUAGCGGUGAAAUGCGUAGAUAUCAGGAGGAACACCGGUGGCGAAGGCGGGUCUCUGGGCAACAACUGACGCUGAGGAGCGAAAGCGUGGGGAGCGAACAGG